UGUACCGGUACAAGGUAAUGGCUGUACCGGUACAGCAAGCAGAAAAAGGCUGAUUUCGCCAGUUCAAUGCACUUUCUCGUUUUUAACCCUCCAAUCACUCUCUAACUUAUUCAAAAACUUGUCCAAGUCAUUUAGAACAUGUAGAAUAGCUCCACACUUCAUUCCACACACUCGAACUCUGUAAUUUGCGAAAGUUCAGUGUAUUACAUUCACCCCUAGAGGCUCACAUUAUUUUAACCGUACAUUUCUUCAUCCAAAGGCCGAAACCUAAUAAUACCAACUACUUGGCACUAUUGAUAACAUUCCAGCCUAGUUCUAUAUUUUUUAUUAUUUUUUAUUAUCUUUGAAAUAGUUACCAAACAUAUUUUUAAUUAUUUUUAUGAAUACUUUUUUUAAGCAAAAUACAACUCUAAACUUAUUUUUAUAUAUUUCAAAAUAACUAGUUAUUUCAAGAAUAAAAAAAAUUUAUUACUAAAAAUAUUAACCCCCAAAUAAAACAUAUAACUUCUUAUUAAAAAUACUGUGUAGUGCGUCCG
RNAcentral lists this long non-coding RNA (536 nucleotides) under Ananas comosus (pineapple). RNAcentral's name for it is "long non-coding RNA (ACOM_LNC017650)". Lineage: Eukaryota; Viridiplantae; Streptophyta; Magnoliopsida; Poales; Bromeliaceae. The record is from RNAcentral.